UACGGAGGGGACUAGCGUUGUUCGGAAUUACUGGGCGUAAAGCGCGCGUAGGCGGAUUUGUAAGUCGGGGGUGAAAUCCCGGGGCUCAACCUCGGAACUGCCUUCGAUACUGCAAAUCUCGAGUCCGGAAGAGGUGAGUGGAAUUCCUAGUGUAGAGGUGAAAUUCGUAGAUAUUAGGAAGAACACCAGUGGCGAAGGUGGCUCACUGGUCCGGUACUGACGCUGAGGCGCGAAAGCGUGGGGAGCAAACAGG
Molecule: ribosomal RNA, 253 nt
Filed under: uncultured bacterium
Lineage: Bacteria
Description: partial 16S ribosomal RNA
Rfam family: Bacterial small subunit ribosomal RNA
Source: RNAcentral